AUACGGAGGGUGCAAGCGUUAUCCGGAUUUAUUGGGUUUAAAGGGUCCGUAGGCGGAUUGGUAAGUCAGUGGUGAAAGCCCGCAGCUCAACUGUGGAACUGCCAUUGAUACUGCUAGUCUUGAGUGUAUUUGAAGUAGCUGGAAUAAGUAGUGUAGCGGUGAAAUGCAUAGAUAUUACUUAGAACACCAAUUGCGAAGGCAGGUUACUAAGAUACAACUGACGCUGAUGGACGAAAGCGUGGGGAGCGAACAGGAUUAGAUACCCUGGUAGUCCACGCCGUAAACGAUGCUUACUCGUUUUUGGGGCGCAAGUUUCAGAGACCAAGCGAAAGUGAUAAGUAAGCCACCUGGGGAGUACGUUCGCAAGAAUGAA
Molecule: ribosomal RNA, 373 nt
Filed under: uncultured bacterium
Lineage: Bacteria
Description: bacterial SSU rRNA
Rfam family: Bacterial small subunit ribosomal RNA
Source: RNAcentral